Molecule: long non-coding RNA, 1540 nt
Organism: Mizuhopecten yessoensis (Yesso scallop)
Lineage: Eukaryota; Metazoa; Mollusca; Bivalvia; Pectinida; Pectinidae
Exons: 2
Source: RefSeq, a predicted model, not a curated record
CUGAAGAACCAAAAGGAAUGGAUUCAUAAGAUUUGGCUGGUAGCUUUUUGGGAUAGAGCUAACAAAGUUUGAGAAGGACAAUGGCAUUGACCAACGUACAAGGUGACAGGGAAAAAAAGGUGAUGACCGAUUUCCAGAGAUUCCUGAAAAAUUGAAAAACAAAAUGGUGACAGAAAGAUACGCUAUGCACCUUUCAAAAACAUUUCCAGCACAACAUCUCAUUACAUUUGGUGUUUGUCUUGGUUUAAGUGACGUAGACAUUUCACAUGUCAAAGCCGACAAUAUGCAAUAUGGAGUAUCUACUGUCAUCUGGAGACUUAUUACCGUAUGGAAAAAUAGGAAUGGUCGUUCAGCGACACUUGAAAAAUUACACAACUUGUUUCAGAACAAUUCAGAUAGCAUUGAGCUUAAUCCUGAAGCAUAUGCUAAAGCACUAGAUAAGAUCAUAAAGUCAUGAAAUCCUAUUAUUUAUCUAAUCUUCAUGAUGUUAAUUAACCACCAAAUGCUCGCCUGCUCAAACUUUCAAAAAUUUGUUUGUAAAAAUGUAGAGUUCAAAACAGGUUAAAAGUCUAAAAAAAAACCAGAAAUCAUAUUUUGAUUUUAACUUCACUUCAUCAAUAUGUAACUCCACAGGAACCUCUAUGCAAAAUACCAGCAUCCUAGUACACAUAUUUAAUGAAUGACAAGCGUCUAAAUAAAGUCAUGGAGGAAAGGAAGACUUUUUGCAGAAUAGGGAAAUUUCUACCCAACUUAAGGCAUGUGGAGGAUUCUGGCCUGAUUUGGAAUUCCCAAAAUGUUGUUUUAAUUUCUUUCACUCCUGGACAUGAAAGCAUAUUUUUCUCAUUCCAACGGCCAUUAUUAGCUCAGAAACAUUUUAAAUGCAUUUUGACUGGCUAUUUGAAAAAAAAGGAAAAUAUGUACUUUUCCCCAAUAUUUUUUCUCAGAAAAGCAAACCUGCGAGAAAGAUAUCGGAUACCUGCGUUCAUCAACAGCUUUUGUUAAUCAAUAGACAACUGUUGUACAAGAAAAAGACUUUUACCAGGAAUUCUGAACCUACACAUAUAGUGUUUGGUUAGCUUGUUGUUUUUAUUUUACAUUAACACUAUUUUUAAUCUAUUAAUGCAUGUAUGAAGCAGACCAGACUGAAGUAAGGGAUUUCUGCCAACAGUUAUUGUUUAUAUGACAAUUUCAUGAAUUUUGCUUGGCGCAUAGCAUGAUUUGGCCGAUGGAAUUGUCCUCAAUUUUACUCAAUUCUUAUUGUGAACUUAUGCUUAGAAAGCCAAAAACCAAGGUACUGAGUACAAUGUAUUUGGUAGCUGAGAAAUCUUUUGAGUGGGACCACAUAUCGGAGGAAUUUUUAAUUGGCCUCUGUUUUUGUAAAAUAUUAAUUAUGUCAAAGACAGAAAGCAAUUACAUGUAUAUAUGAUCUCUGAACAAGAAGCACUAAGGGUCUUUAUUGAUCUCCUAAUUUUUCAGUGGUGGUGGCAAAAAUAUACUGAAUGUUAUGCCAAAAUGAAUAAACCUCAUAAAAGGCACAGCG